CCAUUAAGACGAAACUGGUUUUCACAAUGAACUGACAGAUAGAUAUUAAUUCUGAGAUCAUUGUGAAAGCUGAUUUUGUUCGAGUGUCAA
RNAcentral lists this microRNA precursor (90 nucleotides) under Atta cephalotes. Its description in RNAcentral is "microRNA bantam". It matches the Rfam family "bantam microRNA precursor family". The record is from RNAcentral. Lineage: Eukaryota; Metazoa; Arthropoda; Insecta; Hymenoptera; Formicidae.